CACAACUACCUCCGCCUCCCCAGGCUUAAGCAAUCCUCCCACCUCAGCCUCCCAAGUAGCUGAAACUACAGGUGUGCGCCAUCACCCCCAGAUCAAAAGCUGAGUGAAGCAGUGGUCCAGCUGGAAUUCAACACCUGAGAUAUCUGACUCCAGAUACCAGCCCUUCCUUGCUUCCCACUAGCUGCCUAACCCAGAGAGGAGAUUGGGAAAAGAGAAACAAGUUACAGAAUUCAAGAGUAGGUAUCAUCUGGGGUCUUCCUGAAGGAACAAGUGUUGCUCCAGAGAAGCCAGAAAUUCUUAUCUCUGCUUUGCUCUAACCACCUCUUUAGGCUUUAUGACUGAAGAGUCCCUUUGGCCCCUUAACUCCACAAGGCUGACCCUGGUGAUCAGCAGCUGAGAUCUACAUGAUACAGUCCAGACACCAGAAGGAGACUGAAUCUCUCUCCCAAAUCUCAGCUCUAAAAUUCCCAAGAGAGGGCCUCAUGGGUCCAGGCAGUGUCUGGUGUCCGUCCUGCAAUGGCCAGGAGCCAGGUUUUCUUGUAGGAGUGUGACAGCUCCUCCUGCAGUCGGGGAUCCUGGAUGGGGCUGAGGAGAAGUUCCAAGGCAAGGAGGAUUGGCAUCUGCUCCAUAAGUGCAUUCUUCUCUUUGCACUUGAUCUUUUAUCUACCUCAUAGAUAGAUCCUUCUUGCUCACACUUUCAGCCUGUCCUUUUUUUUUUUUUUUUUUUUUUUUGAGACAGGGUCUCGCUCUGUCACUCAAGCUGGAGUGCAGUGGCAUGAACUUGGCUCACUGCAGCCUCCACCUCCCAAGUUCAAGUGAUUCUCCUGCCUCAGCCUCCCAGGUAGCUGGGAUUACAGGCGUGUGCCACCACACCUGGUUAAUUUUUUUGUAUUUUUAGUAGAGAUAGGGUUUCACCAUGUUGACCAGGCUGGUCUUCAACUCCUGACCUCCCCAGUGAUCCACCCACCUAGGUCUCCCAAAGUGCUGGGAUUACAGGCAUGAGCCACUGUGCCCAGCGCUUUCAGCCAGUUUGACCUCUACUCAUGCAAAUUUUACCUUUCCCUUUAUGCCUCACUCCACCUCACGGCUUCACUCUCUUCUCCCUGAUCGCACCCCACUGUGACUGCCUGAAAUGCCACAUGUUUCUUCAUUCAGAUUUCUCAGAUAAUUCAAUGGUUCCACCCAUAAUUCCACACCUGGCCACUUCAUAGACAAUGACUCACUUAAGGACAGGCUGCCUCAGGGUGCACAGCCUGUAUUCAGGAAUCUGCUAGAGCAACACAUAGCUGUACCUUCUGCAAGGCUGUGGGCUGGAUGACUCCACUGUGGGCGUGGAACACGGGCUGGUGUCAUAAGGAGACAUUCUUUAUGCCUUAGGCAUUGAAAGGAUACUCCUUCCAAAAGGCCUUUCCCAGCGUUUCCCCCUGAAAUCCACUAACCAUAGCAUUUCACUGUUGACACUGCCAUAUAGUGCUAAGUGCAGUUGUCUAACUCCUACUGCCACAGAGAUUCAAGUGUACAAUGGCUUACACGUGUGAGAAGAUUAUUUCUUGUUCAGAUAUCAAAUGCAGAAUAAGCAGUCCAGAGAGGAGAUGACAGCUUUAUGGUGUUGGGGACCUAUGCUCCUUCUGACUUGCUGUUCUAUCAUCCCUUGGACGGUGGCCUCAUCUCCUUGGAUCCAGAUGGAUCACUACCACAUUCCAGCCAGUGGGAAGGGGGAAAUGCAUUUCCUUUUCCUUUAAAUGCGGGAGCCAGAGUUUGCACACCUCACUUCACUCACACCUUGCCAGCCAGAACGUAGUUACAGGGUCACAUCAAGCUUGAAGGAGAGCUGGCAAAUGAAGUCUAUUUUGGGUGGCCAUGUGCCCAGCUAAAAGUUGGGAAUUCUAUUAUUAAAGAGGAAGAGGAAGAGAAGAAUGCAUAUCCCACCAUUCUGUCACCGUUUUUGACUGCUCUCCACUCACUAUCCAGUCUGUCACAUGCUGGCACAUCCCAUUCCUGAUGCCUUUCCUAUGGGGCUCUAUUCUUCAUCCCCACCAAUACCACCAUGCAUUGGGCCCUUCCUGCUUUAUACCCACUGUCUCAUUAGAACGUCCUAGCUGAUCCCUUUGCUUUCAGUCACCUUCUGUGAUCAUUCUAUUAAUAAAUAGCAAAUCUGAUCAUAUGCCCCUAUUGUUUAGAAAUCAAUGGCUCCCCACUGCCCAUAGCAGUAAGAUUUUGAAUCCUUUUUUUUUUGAGACAGGGUCUCAUUCUGUCACCUAGCCUGGAGUGUAGUGGUGAGAUCACAGUCAUUGCAGCCUUGACCUCCUGGGCUCAAGUGAUCUCCCCACCUUAGCCUCCCAAGUAGCUGAGACUACAGGCACACAUCACAACGCCUGGCUAGUUAUUAAUUUUUUUUUUUUUGUAGAGAUGGGAUGUCACUAUGUUGCCCAGGCUGGGCUCAAGUGAUCCUCCUGCUUCAGCCUCUCAAAGUGUUGGGAUUACAGGUGUGAGCAACUGCAUUCAGCUGAGUGCAGAUUUUUGAAUCCCUGAAGUUGUAUGCAAAUUUUGCCUUCUUUUUUUUUUUUAUUGCAAAAACUUUUUUUUUUUUUUUUUUGAGAUGGAGUCUCACUCGCUCUAUCACCCAGGCUGGAGUGCAGUGGCACAAUCUUGGCUCACUGCAACCUCUGCCUACUGGGUUCAAGUGAUUCUCAUGCCUCAGCCUCCCGAGUAGCUGGGAUUAUAGGCAUGCACCACCAUGCCCUGCUAAUUUUUGUAUUUUUUAGUAGAGAUGGGGGUUUCACCAUGUUGGCCAGACUGGUCUGGAACUCCUGACCUCAAUGGGUCAGCCCACCUUGGCCUCCCAAAGUGCUGAGAUAUACAGGCGUGCGCCACUACGCCUGGCCAUUUUACUUUUUCUUUCUUUUUUUUCUUUUAGAGAUGGGGUCUCAAUCUGUCACCCAGGCUGGAGUGCAGUGGUGCGAAAAUAACUCACUGGACUCAAACAAUCCUCCUGCUUUAGCCUCCUAAGUAACUAGGAUUACAGACAUGUGUCACCAUGCCUGUCUAUUUUUUAUUUUAAAUUUUUUUUUGUAGAGAUGAGGUCUUGCUAUUUUGCCCAGGCUGGUCUUAAACUCCUGGCCUCAAGCAAUCCUUUCGCCUUGGCCUCCCAAACUUUUUCUGUUGAGGCCUUUGCAUUUUCAAAGGGGUCUGUUAUUCCCCUCAAGUUACAGGCACAAGUCCAAAUUCCAAGUAUCCAUGUACGAGUGUGGUAUGUUUCCUGACCUCCCUUUCACGUCUCCUGUUUAGUCACGUCUCCUGCGUAACUGAAACUAAAGUCAUUUUGAAAUUGUCUCCAUUGCCCAACAGGUCACACUUUUUCUUUUUUUUUCCUUUUUUCUUUUCGUGAUGGAGUCUCACUCUGUCGCCCAGGCUGGAGUACAGUGGCGUGAUCUUGGCUCACUGCAAACUCCACCUCCCGCAUUCAAGCGAUUCUUAUGCCUCAGCCACCCGAAUAGCUGGGAUUACAGGCGUGAGCCAGCGUGCCCAGCCCAGGUCAGGUCAUGCUCUUUCACAUGCCACAUCUUCCAUCCACCUGCCGUUAUAUCUAAACUCCUAGGCAUCGUUAUGGCUUGGCUGAAAAGCCACCUCCUCUGGGAGGCGUCCUUGACUCCCUUUGUCCCACUCAGUCUCCACAGCUCGACUCAGGCCUCCAACACUUGUCACAUUUCAUAGUGGUCGUUAGCUUACACCUGCCCCCCACCAACAAACCAUUAACUCUGGAGCCCAGGACUCUGAAUGGACACUCCACAAAUGUUUAUUGAAUAAAUGUCACUCAUGCUAAAAAAACUGGAGUGCUGUUUCUAACAUGUGAAUCUGAGCAUUGCUUCCUUUUUGCGGAGGAGCGGGGAAUGGUGUCUGGCUGUAACCCAGGCUUGAGUGCAGUGGUGAGAUACCGGCUCACUGCAGCCUCUGCCUCCCCAGUUGAAGCGAUUCUCCUGCCUCAGCCUUCCAAGUAGCUGGGAUUACAGGCACAUGCCACCACACCCAGCUAAUUUUUGUAUUUUUAGUAGAGAUGGGAUUUCACCAUGUUGUUCAGGCUGAUCUUGAACUCCUGACCUCAAAUGAUCUACCCAUCUUGGCCUCCCAAAGUGCUGGGAUUACAAGCAUGAGCCACUGUACCCAGCAUAGGCACAUUAAUAUUAUUUGAAUGGCCCAAAUCAAUGUUCUCUCUUGUUUUGGAGCUUUAUUCUUGCUUCUUCCUCUGCCUGGAACGUUCUCCUGCUCCUCUUUGCCUGGCUAGCUCCUACGUAUCCUUCAGAUAGUUAAAAUAUACCUCAGGAAGUCUUCCUGGAUCCCCUCCCCACUUCUAGGUGAAGGGGGUACUAGGCUGAGGGCCCCAUCUAUGCACACCCCCAGCACCCUAUGUUCGCCCAGUUGCAACGUGGCUCUCACUGCAAGGCGGUGGCUCAUUUGUCUUCCUUCCCUGCUCACAUGCAGUGCACUCUGUGCCUAACUCACCCGCUGGCGUAGCCCCAGCCUCAAGCACAGCACUUGGAAGGGAAGAGGUACCUGAUAAAUGUGUUAAAUGUGGGUUAGAGGAAUGGAUUUCUCCAUUUUAAAUCUUGAUUUCAAUACCUUUCUGUUGCCUUUGGAAUAAAGCCUUACCACAGCUUUUACAGCACUUUCUGAUGUGGUCUCCAUGUAAUUUUAGUCUCGUCUCUUAAAAAUAUACCCUUUGAUUUCAGUGUCCCACUCAAACAUGGUAGCCACACUGAACUGAAUGAAGGCCCCCAAAUGCCUGCUUUCCCUUCUUCCAGCCUCUGCAGUGAAACUGCCAUUGCAAACUUGUAACAGACAGUGAAAGAGAUCUGACCUAACCAACUUCAUCUUGCUUCUAACCUCCAAGCUGUCCUUGUUGGUUCCUGGGCACAGGCUGAACUGACUUUGGGAGAAAGUUUAUAGUUUAAAACAAAGACGAUAACAGCCCUUUCCCAAAACAAACCUCCUUCUUGCCUGGGGACUAGACUGCCUUUGCAGGACAAGAAAUUAGCCACAAGAUUAGAAAUUAUGGUUUAGGAGUCAUGCAGCUGGAGACUACCAGGUUCUGACCCUCCCUAAACUGCUCCUCAGAUCAGUGCUUGAGACAUUUUGCAGACCCUGCACUUGAUGGAUCGGCUGGCACCACCCAGAUCAAUAAACUGGCUCAUCUGAUCUUGCAGCCUCCACCCAGGAACUGACUCAGCGCAAGAAGACAGCUUCGACUCUGUAUGAGUUCAUCUCCAACCUGACCAAUCAGCACUCCCGGCUCACUGGCUUCCCCCCAUCCACCAAGUUGUCCUUAAAACUCUGCUCCCCGAAUGCUUGGGGAGACUUAUUUGAGUAAUAAUAAAACUCUGUUCUUCUGCACAGCCAGCUCCGCAUGAAAUUACUCUUUCUCUAUCGCAGUUCCCCAGUAUUGAUAAAUCGGCUCUGUCUAGGCAACCGGCAAGGUGAACUCACUAGGCAGUUAUGGCAGUACUCUUCUGCCUGGCACACUCACCUCUCAUUCCGCUUCCUUUUCUGCCUAACAUCCAGUAAUCUUUAAGUUCAUUGGCCCUUUCUCCAGGAAGCCUCCCUUGACUUUCUAAGGCCAGCUCUGGUGCCCUUUAGUGGUACCUCUCUGGGCUUCCUUCUGACCUUCUAUGUGUUUUCCCUAGUGGAUGAUGAGGCAAGAGACUGAACUGGACUCACUGUGAUGUCUCUAGUGCUGGGAACAGUGUCAGGCACCUGGCCGGUUUAUAAAUAUAUACAUAUACAUUUGAGACAGAGUCUCGCUCUGUUGCCUAGGCUGGAGUGCAGUGGCAUGAUCUUGGCUCACCGCAACCUCUGCCUCCCGGGUUCAAGCAAUUCUCCAGCCUCAGCCUCCUGAGUAGCUGGGAUUGCAGGCGCACACCACCACACCUCGCUAGUUUUUAAAAAUAUUUUUGGUGAAGACAGGGUUUCAUCAUGUUGUCCAGGCUGGUCUCUAACUCCUGACCUCAAGUGAUCUGCCCGCCUCAGCACCCCAAUCAAUAGAUAUUUUUAAAUGAAUUUUAGAGCUGAGGGACAGUGACAGGAAGG
RNAcentral lists this long non-coding RNA (6081 nucleotides) under Homo sapiens (human). RNAcentral describes it as "HSALNT0292765". Lineage: Eukaryota; Metazoa; Chordata; Mammalia; Primates; Hominidae. The record is from RNAcentral.